RNAcentral lists this long non-coding RNA (317 nucleotides) under Elaeis guineensis (African oil palm). Its description in RNAcentral is "long non-coding RNA (EGUI_LNC015891)". Lineage: Eukaryota; Viridiplantae; Streptophyta; Magnoliopsida; Arecales; Arecaceae. The record is from RNAcentral.
UACCAGUAUCUGCCCUUCCUUCGAGAGCCCUAUUUCUGUUGGCGUCUUCUCGGGCCAUAGGCGCCCUUCAAGUCGUCUCUGUCCUCGCCCCUCUGCAUCCCUCAGAGCGAUCUAGGUUAGUCCCAGCACCUUCAUCUUUCUUCCCGCCACUUAGGGGCCUCUUCUUCACCAUUAUAUUUUUUAUUCCUCCGAGUUAGUUUCCUGUGACCUCUCGCCCCUUAUCCUGUCCGUCUUCUUCGGGAUCUUUAGAGUCCUCAUUCAAAGUGUUUCUAAAUGUCGUCCGGCUAUUUCGCUCCCAGCGGUUCUGGGAGUUCUUC